RNAcentral lists this ribosomal RNA (253 nucleotides) under uncultured bacterium. RNAcentral's name for it is "partial 16S ribosomal RNA". It matches the Rfam family "Bacterial small subunit ribosomal RNA", at positions 524 to 776 of the family's 1533-position model. The record is from RNAcentral.
GACAGAGGUGCCGAGCGUUAGGCGGAAUUACUGGGCGUAAAGAGUGUGUAGGCGGUGCUCUAAGUUCGGUGUGAAAUCUCCUGGCUCAACUGGGAGGGUGCGCCGGAAACUGGAGUGCUUGAGCGUGGGAGAGGAAAGCGGAAUUCCUGGUGUAGCGGUGAAAUGCGUAGAUAUCAGGAGGAACACCUGUGGUGUAGACGGCUUUCUGGACCAUAGCUGACGCUGAGACACGAAAGCGUGGGUAGCAAACAGG